Molecule: small nuclear RNA, 107 nt
Filed under: Octodon degus (degu)
Lineage: Eukaryota; Metazoa; Chordata; Mammalia; Rodentia; Octodontidae
Source: RNAcentral
GUGCUCGCUUCAGCAGCACAUAUACUAAAACUGGAAUGAAACAGAAAAGAUUAGCAUUGCCCCUGCGCAAGGAUGACACGCAAAUUCAUGAAGCGUUCCAUAUUUUU